UCUGAGCACAUCUCCAGUGUGGGGCAGCACCAUGCUUCACCGAGCAACACUCACUCACUCUCCGCCUGCGCCACCAGCACCGCCACCGGCCCGCAAGGCCACCACAACACGCUCGGCCGCCCGCGGCGAGAGCCUGACAUGGCCCCGGCCCGGCCCUGCCCGAGGCGCCCGGUCAGUCCAGACAAGUUCUGGAGGGAUCCUCACAUUGCUGAUGGCUGAGUAACCUCCCAGUGGAGAAGUGUGCCAGUCUGAGCAGUGUGAUCACAGAAAGGAUGUCUGGCAAGACCAUCAGAGGGUCGUAACCUUUGAACUUCAGUCUACAGGUAGAAGCCAGGGCGGAACUGGCGGCCAUUCAAGUAAAUCAAUGGUGGAUGCAAAACUACCUGUAGUAUCCAAAUGCCAUAAAACAUUUCUGAUGAAAUGACAGGGAUUGACGAGAGCACUGGAGUGUUGGGAGAACAACAGGACGAUCGGGAAGAGGAAGUGGGAAGGUGAACGUCUUAUGCCGACAACAAUGGCAAAGAAAGGACUCGCUACAGACAUUUGACAACACAAACAUAAGAAGGGAUGUCUCCAGGACCCAUCCCUCUGUCUUGGGAUGAAAAGUUGCUUGUACCGGGGACAAAACUUUCAUCUGGUCUGUCCAAAAUAUCUGUACGCCAUGACAUGAAUCCAAUGAAAAUGUAUUGUCUUUAGCUUAAAAUGAUGUAUUUAACAACGAAAAUCAGCUACGUGGGCUUUCUGAUUAUGAAUGGGAUGGGAAGAAAAUAAAGCUGGAGACAGUCCUGGAUGAUAUCAAGAAAAUAAGCUAUACUUUCUUAAAAAGAAUAGGACUGAGUGUAUUUUUUUUCAGUUCUGUAACAAGUUAUGACUUAGUUCUUAUCUAUAUGACAUUUUAGCUUCACCUUAGGCUGACAUAUUUCCCUUGACGUAAUGUUUUCACUCCCAUGGACAUUCCAUGUGUUCAUCUCCAAGCUCAUACUGUGUUCUAUGUUCAAGGGAAAUCAUCUGCAUAAUUCAGCCCCAGGUAAAGUUGUAUUAUCAGUGACCCAUAAAUAUGCAAGUCAAGGUAAUACCGUUGUAUGAGCUAACUCUCCCAUAAGUGGCCAUGAUCCGUUUUGUAAGUCCUCUGACCUCCACUUGGCCGAUUGUUUUCAUUUCAUAAAUUGUCACUCUGUCCCGGUAGGUAGAACAAACAAACACUCCCAGGAGAUCCAUUGUUCUGUGAUUACUAAACAGGACGAUCCUUUGCUUAUGUAAUAACCUGUGCAUAUUUGCUAUAUAUACAGGAGAUAACGCGUUUCCUGUCCAUUGUGUUGGGGCACAUGAAUAUGAAAUUUAUCAGCUUUUGUCACGAAAACAAUGUUAUUCAUAUCAAGGGGAUGUAGAUUUUUGUGUUGUUGCAACAAAUACAUCUGUUGGUAAUGCUGAAUAAUCCUCUGCUUUUGUGUUUUGUAUUCAGCAAAAUUUCUCAGGCACCUUUGUUACGACAGCAAGUCUUUGGUUUCCUGUAGAAAUGUUGAUGAUUAUCUGUUCACCUGGACUCAAAGUAAAGUAAGUUAGUGUAAGUAACUUUUCAGUUAGUCUUGAAGAACUUCUCAAAUGUCAUAAAUGUCAAAUUUUGUGCUGCAUUCACAAAAGAUCAAUCAAUAAAGAUUUUUUAUUUUCUAUA
This is a long non-coding RNA of Branchiostoma floridae (Florida lancelet), 1672 nucleotides long. RefSeq lists it as uncharacterized. NCBI's taxonomy places the organism in Eukaryota, Metazoa, Chordata, Leptocardii, Amphioxiformes, Branchiostomatidae. The transcript is spliced from 4 exons. The record is from RefSeq and is a predicted model, not a curated record.